RNAcentral lists this long non-coding RNA (1333 nucleotides) under Athene cunicularia (burrowing owl). Its description in RNAcentral is "lncRNA (ENSACUG00000006880.1)". Lineage: Eukaryota; Metazoa; Chordata; Aves; Strigiformes; Strigidae. The record is from RNAcentral.
GACCAGAGCAAGGAGGCUCAGCCAUGCGGGGGAAGAAAGGGAAGCACAGGGCGAGCGCUGGGUGAUGAUUUAUCCCCUCUGCUAGGCCUCCGCUUGGGCCAGAUCCAGACACGAACAAGGCUGCCAGCACAUCCAAACGCUGCCGUUAACUCUGCACCUUCCCGCUGCCACAAGCGGGCAUCGCCGAACCCACUGCUCCAGGUGCCGGGCUUGAGGGGGAGCAGCCAGACCCCCAGUGCUCCCAAAACCUCCCCAACCACCCCCCCCCCCCNNNNNNNNNNNNNNNNNNNNNNNNNNNNNNNNNNNNNNNNNNNNNNNNNNCCCCCCCCCCCCCCCCAGCACUGCCGGGCUGCCCACAGGCGGGAUCUGCUGCAUCCCACCAGCAGCAGGCAGGAGCUGCCCUGCUCCUCCUGCCUGCUCCCCCGCGGGCGCCAGGGAGGCUGGGCGCUCUCCUCUGCAGCCCCUUUCUUCUCUCAGGUUAUAAUUACACCUCGCCGGGCAGCUCAGGAAAUACCAGCUUCUUCCCCCGAGCGCCUCUCAGAAUAGCAAGCGGCACGGCUGGGCUCAUUUCGCAUGCACCGGGUUUAGUGCCGCCACCCAGACGCUUCCUCCUGCCGGGGCAGCGCUGGCACAGCCCUGGCACAGGCCUGGCACAGCCCCGGCAUCACUCGCCGUCACCUCCCUGGCCAGCCCCGGCCUUUGCCCCUCGGCCAGGGUCUCCUGGCAGCAGCCUGGGAAGUGGGGGAGAUGAAAGGGGAGGGAACGGGAGAUGCUUCGAUCGGGCAGCACGUGCCCUGCCUGCCACUGUUUGCCUUGUGAUAAGGCUAGGCAGAACAACAAAUACAUGGAGUGGGGGAUGGCCCCGGGGGGUGACGUGGGUACCCCCAGGGCUGGGGUGGCAGAUUCACCCUGUCCUUCUGUGCCCACCUCAGUUUGGAACCCUCUGCUACAAGCAAAGAGCAUCUCCCCAGGGAUCUCAUCCCACGGCGUGCCAGCCCCGAGAGCCCCAGCCCAUCAUGAGACUGCCAUGCUGCCACACUGACGGGAUGCCACCAUCCUCGGUGGCCCAUGUGUCACCCAGCAUUGUCCUCCUCCUGACUGCCAGCCCCAGCGCCCACUCGCUCACCCUGAUGGCAUGGCUACGGCCACACAUGUGGGCACAGAACCCCCCCAUGGUGGAACCCCGGGCUGUGUCUCUGGGGCUGCUGAGCCAGCUGCACCGAUUUCCCAGCAUCCGCCUCUGCUGCCUGCCGGCCCCGGGUGACAAGGACAGCAACAGCCCUGCUGUGCCGAGUCCUCCCGCUUCUCCAUACCCAGCUCCAGCUCUCCUGGG